UCACAUCUAUCAUCUGAUAGAAUCAAUCAAUUUGAGUUCGAUAUAAAAUCUAAUAAAAACUCUUUUCUAUUUUUCACACUACCAUAGUCAUGGGCUUUUGGACUCAAUCUCAUAAUUUACAUAGGACUGCUCCUCCUCUACCAAGGUCGAUAGAUCACAUUCUUGAUGCAAUCCAAUUCCUAUGAUGAAUAUAUUACAGCCAAUAUACACCUCAAGGCUUUGUAUGGCUAGG
Molecule: long non-coding RNA, 232 nt
Filed under: Elaeis guineensis (African oil palm)
Lineage: Eukaryota; Viridiplantae; Streptophyta; Magnoliopsida; Arecales; Arecaceae
Description: long non-coding RNA (EGUI_LNC039642)
Source: RNAcentral